CUUCUAGUCAGCUGAAAUUGCUCAAUUGGGAGAGCAUUAGACUAAAAUGUCACCCUUAAGUUCAACAAAAAGAUAAAAUACAAUUCAGAAGGCAAAAGUAGUAAGAAUAAAGGCAAAGAGUUACAAAAUAGCCUGACAUCUUCAAAAAACUGGGGUGUAGAAUGCAUGUGGGGAGAAAUAGUAAAUCAGUUAGAGAAGGUGGUGGAAGGUAGACAAGAAAGAAAUCUUAUGCUAAGCGCUUUCGAAAUUCCUCACAAUCAAUAGGACGUCUGAUUCAAUGUUGAUAGAAAUAUUGGGUGAGCAUCGUUGUGUUGUUCUUCAAGGGGGAAACAUGCUGUCUUUCACUGGUAGAAAUUGAACAAAAGCAUUCUUUGCUAUUAUACCUGGGUUGUUCUUCACUGUUCCCUGGGAAUCUGUUACGGAAAUUAUGCUGAGCUAAUAAUUCUGAUGGGAUGAUCUUCACUCAUGCAGACUGUGGCGUCAUGUAGAAGGAAGGCUAAUAUGGAUGUGAGGUUCAAGAUCAAGAUGGGCAACUGAUGGUCAGACUCCAGUGGUUCUUCAAAACUUUCUAGGAGGUAAACAAGAUGAAAGGGAAAGCACACAAAUUUGCUGGAAUUUGGAAAACACGAACCCUGGAAUUUGGAGGAGUCACUUCCACUGGAAAAUACUUUUAUAUUAUUUAUAGUGGCUACCAUUACCGUGCUCACUUUACAGGUGAGGUUCAGAGAUUUAUGUAACAUGCCAAAGGUCACACAGCUGGACACAGCAGAACCAAGAUUCAAAUCUGCACAGCAGUAAAUGAAACCAGCCCAGCUGCGUGCUCACCUGAAACUUAUUUUCUCCUUCACGUUCCAAACUCAUGACUUGCUUGUGGCAGAAAAAAAGAACUACUUCGGGGUCCGCAACCCCUGGCAGUGGACCGGUACCAGCCCAUGGCCAGUUAGGAUCUGGGUAACACAGCAGCAGGGCCAUUUCAGUCCAAGGAGGAAUGGGACGCAUAGGUGACCACCAAAUAGUGAAGAAUAUGAAAAUCCAUGGUCAUCCCAGAAAAGGUA
Molecule: long non-coding RNA, 1055 nt
Filed under: Homo sapiens (human)
Lineage: Eukaryota; Metazoa; Chordata; Mammalia; Primates; Hominidae
Description: HSALNT0214316
Source: RNAcentral